RNAcentral lists this unclassified non-coding RNA (276 nucleotides) under Serendipitaceae sp. Its description in RNAcentral is "partial contains small subunit ribosomal RNA, internal transcribed spacer 1, and 5.8S ribosomal RNA". The stretch from base 1 to 46 matches the Rfam family "Eukaryotic small subunit ribosomal RNA", at positions 1786 to 1831 of the family's 1831-position model. The record is from RNAcentral. Lineage: Eukaryota; Fungi; Basidiomycota; Agaricomycetes; Sebacinales; Serendipitaceae.
AAGUCGUAACAAGGUUUCCGUAGGUGAACCUGCGGAAGGAUCAUUAGUGAAUCUUCAAAGUCGGCUCGUCGGAUUGUGCUGGUGGAGACACAUGUGCACGUCUUGCGAGUCGCAAACCCACACACCUGUGCAUCUAUGACUCUGAGUGCCGCUUUGCAUGGCCUUGAUCGGCCUGGCGCUCGAGUACUUUUCACACUCCUGAAUGUGUAAUGGAAUGUCUUGUUGUGCGUAAUGUACAAAUCGAAACAACUUUCAACAACGGAUCUCUUGGCUCUC